This 388-nucleotide ribosomal RNA is filed under the name uncultured bacterium. RNAcentral describes it as "bacterial SSU rRNA". It matches the Rfam family "Bacterial small subunit ribosomal RNA", at positions 29 to 408 of the family's 1533-position model. The record is from RNAcentral.
AAUGAACGCUGGCGGCGCGCCUAAUACAUGCAAGUCGAGCGAGAAGACGUAGCAAUACGUUUGUAAAGCGGCGAACGGGUGAGGAAUACAUGGGUAACCUACCCUCGAGUGGGGAAUAACUAGCCGAAAGGUUAGCUAAUACCGCGUACGCUUCUUGGACUUCGGUUCAGGGAGGAAAGCGAUGCCGAGGGUAUCGCGCUCUUGGAUGGGCUCAUGUCCUAUCAGCUUGUUGGGAGGUAACGGCUCACCAAGGCUUCGACGGGUAGCUGGUCUGAGAGGACGAUCAGCCACACUGGCACUGCGACACGGGCCAGACUCCUACGGGAGGCAGCAGUAAGGAAUAUUGCGCAAUGGGCGAAAGUCUGACGCAGCGACGCCGCGUGGGGGA